CUUCAGGCCCCAGAGCUUGGCCCGACCCUAGAACGGCCACCGCCCUUCACACCGCGGAGGGCGGCGUCCCUCCCACCGCCGCGCCGAAUUCGGGCUUGGCGACUCGCUGGGGGGUCCCGGGCGCCCCCCACCCGCCCCGACGGCCAAGCGCCCGGAGCCCGCCCCACGGCCGCCCCUGAGGGCUGUCGUCCCGACAGGCUCGGUCCACUCCGCCCGCCGAGCCCUCGCCGAGCCCCGCUGCUGUGCUGACUUCAGCCCACAUCGCACCCCAGCCACCAGGGAACUUUCCAGAACGUUGGCCCUCUCUGGGAAGUCCCGAGUCGCCAUCCAGGAGGGAGCGCCCACCUGAGGCCUGGCGGGCUCGGGGCCGGGCCGCACGCGGAGCGCACCCUUCGGGCCCAGCCUCCGGAAGCGCUAUUCAGUCGCCGCGGGGCGCCACCCCUCGGGCCGGGCCCGCCGCUCCAGGGGCACCGACGGCGGCGCAGCAAGACACGGGAGAGCACCGCGCCCCCAGCCCGCCAGGAGCCCCCUGCCCGCCUAGACCUCGCCCGACCCCCCGGAGGCAGCCCGAGCUAAAAUUAGCGCCGAGCGCGCGGCGCGCUCACGUGCGCCCCGCGGGACGGGGUGCGGGUGAGUCACGGCCCCGCCCCCCUCGCCGAGGACGCGCUGACGUCAGCCGCUUCCCCGAAGGAUGACGUCAGCGCGCCUCGGGGAGGCCGCGAGGCCUCCGUAGAACGUUCACUGAGUUUCGAUGUCUUAAAGGGACCAGGCCUUGGAUCGUGAAAGAUCUAGAGCGAUGACUGCUCUCGCUCACCCGUGGAGGCAGAACUUGUCUUAUAUCUCUUUGUCCGGAGAAGUGUUGGCUAAGAUGAUGUUGAAAAAAAGAAGAGCACCUGAACCUCAUUGGAAGCUCCCCGAAGCCUCAGAACCUCCUCCUGGAAGCCCUCUGUGAUUAACCGGAAUCUCAUCCUUACUCAAAAGUUACACAGCUAAAGAAUGGCAAACAGGAAGUCAUUCCCAGGUCAGCUGGACUCUGAGUCUGUGUUUUGGUGACGAAGAUGGGCUAUGAAAUCUAUGUCUUAUUCGGGGUUUUCUGGAGCCUGUGACCAAACCCCUGGUGUGUGUUCCCACCACAACCUCAGGAGGAGAUGGAGAAAACCACAGACGGCCUCAGCCGUGAGGUCAGCGGCUUGUUCCCUUGCACUUGGCUUGGACGUACAGACAUGGAAGCUUAGAGCAGUAUGAGACCUUCAGGCCAACCAGGCCAGCCCCUGUUUUAUAACUAAGGGACUGAGGUGCAGGUGAGGUGACCUGCCUGGGGUCACAUGGCCUGUUAGGUAGAGAGUCCUAGUCACCUGACUUCCAGCCCACUGCUCUUUCCAUGAUCACACCUCUGUUAUGAGUCUCAGGUGGAACCGUGGGCGUAAAUGUGCAUGGUAAACUGUAACACGCCAUUUACACGAUAGAAAGGAAGACAAAUGGCGACUUGAAGUUUUGACUUUUUAUCUCCCAGCCUUCACUUCCCAUCAUCUUCCUAUCUCAGAAGCCCCAUUUAAUGUUGUUAAGAGCCGUAAAUGUAACUGGCCACUAAUGUGGAAGGAUUGUGAUCUCCAGCAAACGGCCCCAGCAAAGAAAGGAGCAGGAAUCCUGGGUCUGUUCCCAACCGUGCCAGUGACUCACUGGAUGACACAAAGUAAUGUGGUUCUUUUGUUGGGGGGAGAGAUGUGAGAAGACGACGCACACAGCUGCUCGCCUGACAGAGGUGAAAGGGUGGAGGAGAAGCCAUUUGACAGGCUCCCAGCAUAGUGGAGGCUCAGGGGUCCCUGGGUGAAUCCAGUUCCAUAGUAACUGCUUAGCAAUGGCCGGCUGGGUCAGCCCUGAGCUCUGGCCCACUUGAGCCCCUGCCUCCGAUGGAGCCGCUAAGAUGGCGUGGGCUGGAUUAUGGCACUUACCCUUCAUGACAUCAUUCUCAUUGGUUAGGAAUGCGCCCUGGUUGUUCCUAACUCCACUUUAAUAACUUGUUAUAGAUCUGCCCUCCAGGAAUUUGUUUGAAACUUUCUUUAAUCUAUUUAUAUUUCAGCCUGUGCAGCCUUUUCAGGCGGCAAGUAGACUGACCAUUUAUGUAAAAGCACUUAGGUCCUAAAACACAGAAAGUGCUAUAUUAGGGUUCUUAUCAUAAUAAAACGUUUGUAAUUAUAAUGUAUUUAAUAAUGAUAUUAUAAUUUGAUGAUAACAGUGAAUUCAGGUGGUCUCACAGGCUUAUUUUUAGUCACUCACUCUGUUUGUCUUUGUCUUUAUCUCCCCACGCACCACUCCCUAGCCAUCAAAAAGUAUUUAUUAAUGGAGUGAGGGGCUGUCAUGGGUAUAACAAUGCAUGCAAACUUAGAUAAACACAUUCAGUGUCCUCUAAAGACUUACCAUCUACCACCAACAUACAGUAGGUGCUCAAUAAAUACUUGUUGGGCGAAUGGAUGGAUGGAAGGAAUUAAAAAAACCUGCGUGGUAACUGGUGAGACAUAUUAGGAAUGACUAUUUUGGGGGUUGGAGAGCAAACCUGAGAGCAUCAUGGGCAAGGAGGGAAAAGGGAACAUCCUGAUUUUCUGGUCAAUGCGCACGUGUGAGCUCUCCUCAGAUUGGCCCUAGAGCUCAUCCUGGAGGAAGAGCUGGUUUCCAGGCUGCUGAAAUGAUGCCUAGAGGAGGCAGGCCAAGGGGCACCCCCAUGGCAGGUGCCAUAUGGGUUGCAGGAGUGAGGAGGCAGGUACGGGGUCCAGAAGAGAAAGACCGGUCCCUGUGGCUAUCUCUAUUUUCAGUAGGAACCACACCGGAAUGUUUUAAAAAUCCCAUGACUCAGUAGGUGAAUGGCCAAAUAAAUUGUGGUACAUCCAAACAAUGGAAUAUUAUUCAAUGCCAAAAAGAAAUGAGCUAUCAAGCCAUGAAAACACAUGGAGGAAACUUAAGUGUGCAUAUCAAUAAGUGAAAGGAGCCAACUGAAAAGGCUAUGUGCUGUAUGAUUCCAACUAUAUGACCUACUGGAAAAGGCAAAACUACGGAGACAGUAAGAAGAUCAGUGG
RNAcentral lists this long non-coding RNA (3071 nucleotides) under Equus asinus (donkey). RNAcentral's name for it is "lncRNA (ENSEASG00005037055.1)". The record is from RNAcentral. Lineage: Eukaryota; Metazoa; Chordata; Mammalia; Perissodactyla; Equidae.